RNAcentral lists this ribosomal RNA (393 nucleotides) under uncultured bacterium. RNAcentral describes it as "bacterial SSU rRNA". It matches the Rfam family "Bacterial small subunit ribosomal RNA", at positions 30 to 416 of the family's 1533-position model. The record is from RNAcentral.
AGUGAACGCUGGCGGCAGGCCUAACACAUGCAAGUCGAACGGCAGCACGGCAGUAGCAAUACUGUGGGUGGCGAGUGGCGGACGGGUGAGGAAUACAUCGGGAUCUACCCUGUUGUGGGGGAUAACGUAGGGAAACUUACGCUAAUACCGCAUAAGAACUGAGGUUGAAAGCGGCGGACCGCAAGGCGUCGCGCGAUUGGAUGAACCGAUGUCCGAUUAGCUAGUUGGCGGGGUAAAGGCCCACCAAGGCGACGAUCGGUAGCUGGUCUGAGAGGACGACCAGCCACACUGGAACUGAGACACGGUCCAGACUCCUACGGGAGGCAGCAGUGGGGGAAUAUUGGACAAUGGGCGCAAGCCUGAUCCAGCCAUGCCGCGUGGGUGAAGAAGGCC